UCUCCGUAGGUGAACCUGCGGAGGGAUCAUUACUGAGUGAGGGCCCCCGGCCCGACCUCCAACCCUUUGUGUAUCUCGACCCUGUUGCCUCGGGGGCGACCCGGCCUUCGGGCGUCGGGCCCCCCGGCGGACCACUCAACUCUGCAUCUUUGCGUCUGAGUCGAAAUAUAAAUCAAUCAAAACUUUCAACAACGGAUCUCUUGGUUCCAGCAUCGAUGAAGAACGCAGC
RNAcentral lists this unclassified non-coding RNA (229 nucleotides) under uncultured fungus. RNAcentral's name for it is "sequence contains ITS1, 5.8S rRNA gene". The stretch from base 181 to 229 matches the Rfam family "5.8S ribosomal RNA", at positions 1 to 49 of the family's 154-position model. The record is from RNAcentral. Lineage: Eukaryota; Fungi.